RNAcentral lists this ribosomal RNA (347 nucleotides) under uncultured bacterium. RNAcentral describes it as "bacterial SSU rRNA". It matches the Rfam family "Bacterial small subunit ribosomal RNA", at positions 8 to 343 of the family's 1533-position model. The record is from RNAcentral.
AGAGUUUGAUCCUGGCUCAGGAUGAACGCUGGCGGCGUGCCUAAUACAUGCAAGUCGAGCGAAUGGAUUAAGAGCUUGCUCUUAUGAAGUUAGCGGCGGACGGGUGAGUAACACGUGGGUAACCUGCCCAUAAGACUGGGAUAACUCCGGGAAACCGGGGCUAAUACCGGAUAACAUUUUGAACCGCAUGGUUCGAAAUUGAAAGGCGGCUUCGGCUGUCACUUAUGGAUGGACCCGCGUCGCAUUAGCUAGUUGGUGAGGUAACGGCUCACCAAGGCAACGAUGCGUAGCCGACCUGAGAGGGUGAUCGGCCACACUGGGACUGAGACACGGCCCAGACUCCUACG